Molecule: small RNA, 864 nt
Filed under: Arabidopsis thaliana (thale cress)
Lineage: Eukaryota; Viridiplantae; Streptophyta; Magnoliopsida; Brassicales; Brassicaceae
Description: putative long intergenic non-coding RNA
Source: RNAcentral
ACUGAAGUUGACUUCUUUGUCUCCCCCACUCUUUUGCUCUUUUGCUCUAGGCAUAACCAUGAUUACGCGCGUGAUGGCUCCCAGAGUGUCGGCUUCGAUCCUCUCCUUCUUUUAUUGUCUUUGUUUUCUUCGGGCUUGAAAGUAUGGUGGUUUUAGCAAGUUGGUUUGAGUUGUUGUUGAUGGAGUUUGGUUCUAGGCGAUCAAAAUCGAAAGGGCUUUUGGUCAAUGGUGAUGAUGGAGUCGUCGUUCUCACUAUCGCAUCUCUGUGUGGUGCCUCUUCUUGUCCCUAACCUCAUGCUUCAUUGUGUUUGGAGCAUCUUUGGCUUUUUCUGAUCUGAACAGCGGUUUUGUAUUCUCGGUGACCCAAUUCUCCUAUCGUCUCUCAUGCUUCUUUUUUUUCUUUGGCUCUUCAUUAAUUGUGUUUGGUUUAGAUCUUCUAGUUUGAGUCGAAGGUUUAGUUGAUGCUUUUGGGUUGGGCAGAGAUUAAGUUAUGCUUAUUUUGGGUUCUAACUCUUCGGAUUAUUGUAUGGCUUUGCGGUGCUUUCCGGAUUAGUGGUUUGCUUGCUUUAACUCUCUGCUUUGGGUUCCUAGUUCUUCUUCGCUGUUUGCUUCCUCUCAAUUGUGCGUGGACUCUGGUGGACUAGUUUCGUGUUUGGAGUUUGUCUCUCGGAUGAUACAUCGAUGCAGGUGCAUCUACUAGUUCUUUUCUGGAGCCGUCUUCGGUUUUGGUUGUUGCGUUCUAAGCGCGACAAUGGUUUCAUUCACUAGUUCUUCUCUUGCGAGAUCGUGACCGAUUCAUGUGUGUAGGUGACAUUGAUUGUUUUAAAAUUUUCAUAAACAAAAGUAUAAAUGCAAUGCUUCGUC